UACGUAGGGGGCGAGCGUUGUCCGGAAUUACUGGGCGUAAAGGGCGCGCAGGCGGCCUGUCAAGUACGUGGUGAAAGCGCUCGGCUCAACUGAGCGAGGACCGCGUAGACUGGGAGGCUGGAGUCUCACAGAGGCGAGUGGAAUUCCCGGUGGAGUGGUGAAAUGCGUAGAGAUCGGGAGGAACACCAGUGGCGAAGGCGGCUCGCUGGGUGAGAACUGACGCUGAGGCGCGAAAGCGUGGGGAGCGAACUGA
This 253-nucleotide ribosomal RNA is filed under the name uncultured bacterium. Its description in RNAcentral is "partial 16S ribosomal RNA". It matches the Rfam family "Bacterial small subunit ribosomal RNA", at positions 524 to 776 of the family's 1533-position model. The record is from RNAcentral.